Tachyglossus aculeatus (Australian echidna) is the source of this 1627-nucleotide long non-coding RNA. RefSeq lists it as uncharacterized. The record is from RefSeq and is a predicted model, not a curated record. The transcript is spliced from 4 exons. Lineage: Eukaryota; Metazoa; Chordata; Mammalia; Monotremata; Tachyglossidae.
ACAAGGUUCCCCGGUUUAGGACAGUUCACUCGCCUGACAGUCUGGAUUGGGUUAAUAUUCCAUGUUGAGGUUUGGAUUCGUCAAAGAAGAGAGAGUAAAGAAAAGUCUUGCAAAUCCUCUAAAGGUGUGAUUCUGAAGUUGAUCUGGACAAGGAAUCCCCCUGUACUUCCUGGAAACGGUGGUCUAGACUGUGCUCUAACCCAGGUGGAUCUUUUUCAGAGACUUCACCUGCCGACUUCUGGGAGCUCCCCAUCCGGCAAGCAUCCCCACAGCUGCGGAGCUGCGGUCUCAGACGUCAGCGGAAGCCGACCCACGGGAGCGUGAGGAGGGCCAGAUGAAUAGAUGCUGGCAGCAGCAGCAGCAGCAGUAGGGGACGGCAGGCUGAAUUCCAAACCUCCAGUUGGCUCGGCUUCUCCCAGACUAUUGGAGGAAUGAAGGCUGCAGUGAGAGAAGACCUUCGCUCCGGAUCAUGCGGCAAGAGAUGGACCAAGAAACCGGCAGUGCCCCCUCCAGCCGAGGGUCCAGGAGAUGAGGAAAAGCACCAGAGCAGCAAGGAGGAGGCCUGACUGUACCGACCACUGCGGCACCCACCAAAGCCAAACCUGAACCAAGCCGGCCAGGAAGAUCAGGGCGGCCGCCGUGACCAACAGAAUGGAAUCCCCAAGACAGGCCGGAAUCCACUGGGUCACUUUUCAUCCCCUGGUGUAAACAUGGAGUUGCCUUGUAGAUCCCUCCUGGAGGGAUUCUGUUCCGAGAGCUGCACCAGCGAGGGAGAAGUGAUCGGGGGUCAAGCCGACAAGUGGAGACCGGGACGCCCUUAGAGAAGAUGGGAGUUGACCUGUCCAUCAGGAAAAAAUAAGUAUCUAAUCGUAGACUAACCAAAAAAACACUUGGAAAUGGUCAUUUACUGCUCGUGUCAGAUGAUUCGAACUGUGAUAGGUCUCCAUUUCUCUCCUCUCUCUCUCUCCCUCUCUCCCUCUCUCCCUCUUUCUCUCUCUCUCUCUAAUUUUUCUAUUCACGAUGAAAAAGAUAUUUGGAUUUUUCCUCACAGAAUAUUUUCCCAAACCAUUUUCAGGCGAAAGAACUCCGGUUAGGAUGUUGCUUUUCCUCCUUUACAUACAGUCCGGGGAGAGAGACGGCAGGGUCGGGGAGCCAUUCGUUAGGAACAAAUAAUAAGGAAAAUGAAAAAGAAAUUAAAUACCUAGUACUAUGAGGCUAUUUGAAAGGAGAUGAAAAAGCUGACCCUUAUAGUAAGUUUCGAAGGGAAAUUUACCACAGGUCUCCUUAAAAAGAAUGAAUAAAAAGUCUUCAGACAAGGUUCCCCGGUGUAGGACAGUUCACUCGCCUGACUGUCGGGAUUGGGUUAAUAUUCCAUGUUGAGGUUUGGAUUCGUCAAAGAAGAGAGAGCAAAGAAAAUUCUUGCAAAUCCUCUAAAGGUGUGAUUCUGAAGGUGAUCUGGACAAGGAAUCCCCCUGUACUUCCUGGAAACGGUGGUCUAGACUGUGCUCUAACCCAGGUGGAUCUUUUUCAGAGACUUCACCUGCCGACUUCUGGGAGCGCCCCAUCCAGCAAGCAUCCGCACAGCUGCGGAGCUGCGGUCUCAGAUGUCAGCGGAAGCCUACGCACG